This 511-nucleotide ribosomal RNA is filed under the name uncultured Actinomycetes bacterium. RNAcentral describes it as "bacterial SSU rRNA". It matches the Rfam family "Bacterial small subunit ribosomal RNA", at positions 8 to 522 of the family's 1533-position model. The record is from RNAcentral. Lineage: Bacteria; Bacillati; Actinomycetota; Actinomycetes.
AGAGUUUGAUCAUGGCUCAGGACGAACGCUGGCGGCGUGCCUAACACAUGCAAGUCGAGCGGGAACCUCAGGAGGGGUAACCCUUCUGAGGGGAGAGCGGCGAACGGGUGAGUAACACGUGGGCAACCUGCCCCGGACACCGGGAUAACCCAGGGAAACCUGAGCUAAUACCGGAUACUCCGGCGUGAUCGCAUGGUCGCGCCGGGAAAGCUCCGACGGUCCGGGAUGGGCCCGCGGCCUAUCAGCUUGUUGGUGGGGUAACGGCCCACCAGGGCGACGACGGGUAGCUGGUCUGAGAGGACGGCCAGCCACACUGGGACUGAGACACGGCCCAGACUCCUACGGGAGGCAGCAGUGGGGGAUCUUGCGCUAAUGCGCGAAAGCGUGACGCAGCGACGCCGCGUGGGGGAUGAAGGCCCUCGGGUUGUAAACCCCUUUCGGCAGGGACGAAGGGAAACUGACGGUACCUGCAGAAGAAGUCCCGGCUAACUACGUGCCAGCAGCCGCGGUA